AAGUCUAACAGGGUUUCCAGAGGUGAACCUGCGGAAGGAUCAUUAACACGUAUCCAAACGUAAAAAACCCCCGUGAACAUUCAAUCCUGCUCUUGUAACCCGCGUAGUUCGCAAUCUCUGGUAAAUCAUAGCCCGGAAAGUAGUUUUAAUUCAGAGACGUGAGAACAUUGGAACAGUCACAAUCGAGCGGUAGUUUCAUAGGCAUUGUUUCCCCAAGCGCUUCAACGAUUCCUGUAGACCGUACACUCGGGCAGGAGCUAUGCCAAAGGGCCCAUAACCCCACAGUUUAAUAUGAAGCUCAAUGUAAUACAUUGGGGAAAAAAACCGAGCAACUGUUAACAAUGGAUAUCUUGGUUCUC
RNAcentral lists this unclassified non-coding RNA (359 nucleotides) under fungal sp. RNAcentral describes it as "partial internal transcribed spacer region". Lineage: Eukaryota; Fungi. The record is from RNAcentral.